Alligator sinensis (Chinese alligator) is the source of this 832-nucleotide long non-coding RNA. RefSeq lists it as uncharacterized. The record is from RefSeq and is a predicted model, not a curated record. Lineage: Eukaryota; Metazoa; Chordata; Crocodylia; Alligatoridae. The transcript is spliced from 3 exons.
UCCCUCUUGCCCUCCCUCCGCGCAUGCGCGGCCCAGCUGGGAGGGGCGGGGCCAGGAGCCCUUCUAGAGGGUGGGCCCUUGUACUACUACUUUAGAGUUCUAGAGCCAGAACACGCCGCCCCCAGCCUAGAACCCCGUUGCAUCCCUUCUAGAACAUCCCAGCUAGAACGAAGAGGCCCCAAGCCCAGUCUAGAACCCCUUUGGAGCCUUUGUCCCAGGCCUGAGCUAGUCUAGAACCACUCCUGGAGCCGUUCUAGAAACCCCAGCUAAAACACACUGCCCCCUGCUGCUGGGACGUCCAGUCUAGAACCCUUCUAGAAAAUCCCAGCUGGAAGACAUUGAGCCCUGGUGCUGGGGUGCCCAGUCUAGAUCCCCCCCCCCCCGAGCUUUUCUAGAACUCCCCUGCACUGGGAUGUCUGGUCUAGAACCCCCUGGAGCCCUUCUCAAGUGCCCCACUUAAAACGGGGCCCCUGAGCUUGGGUGUCCAGUCUAGAACCCAUCUUGGAUCCUGUCUCGAACACCUCAGCUAGACCACGUGGACGCCCUGAGUUGGGAUGCCCGGUCGAGAACCUCUGCUACGUCGGGAAUUGGAACAAGCCCCUGGUACCUUGCUGCAUGAUUCAGAAAUGCCCAGCCCAGCAGCCUCCCUCCAGCUCGCGUUUCAACACGGCACGAAAGGCAAAGAGAAAGAAACAGCGAGGCGGACUGGAGAACUGCUGCCAGGGACAGUUUCACCUCUGGGCCCUCUCUUGCUAUUGGCUGGACAUCGAUGACCACAAAUUCAUCUUUCGGAGGGGUCUGGUGGGAGAGACGGAUAGGGAAAAAUAAACCU